GGGGCUUGCUGUACUGUAGUUGGCAGGCUGAGGGGGUUGGGUGAGGGCUUGCUGUACUGUAGUUGGCAGGCUGAGGGGGUGAGGGGGCUUGCUGUAGUGUAGUUGGCAGGCUGAGGGGGGUUGGGUGAGGGGGCUUGCUGUAGUGUAGUUGGCAGGCUGAGGGGGGUGGGUGAGGGGGCUUGCUGUAGUGUAGUUGGCAGGCUGAGGGGGGGGGUGGGUGAGGGGGCUUGCUGUAGUGUAGUUGGCAGGCUGAGGGGGGGGGUGGGUGAGGGGGGUGGGUGAGGGGGCUUGCUGUACUGUAGUUGGCAGGCUGAGGGGGUGGGUGAGGGGGCUUGCUGUACUGUAGUUGGCAGGCUGAGGGGGGUGGGUGAGGGGGCUUGCUGUAGUGUAGUUGGCAGGCUGAGGGGGGGUUGGGUGAGGGGCUGUGCUGUAGUGUAGCUGGCUGGAGUAACUGAUUAACACUAUAGGGCCAAACUGGGCCGAACUGAACUGGGCUGGUUAUUCUUUCACCAUAGUAGCUGGAACCGUGCUGGAAAGGACAAUGUGUAAAUAAAAUAUCUGAGUCAGUACAGUACAGGUCAGCCCUAUCGUUCAGAUCAGGCAGAGGAAGAUAUAGGCUAGGAAGGUCUUCAUGGUUUCAGGGAAGAUAUAGGCUAGGAAGGUCUUCAUGGUUUCAGGGAAGAUAUAGGCUAGGAAGGUCUUCAUGGUUUCAGGGAAGAGGCUACAGUAAAUCUAUAUGAGCCCAGUGAAGAGGCACCUUGCCGGGCACGUUGGCUGUUCGGCCGGUCCCUCUCCUGGGAGAAAACUGGUCCUCUUCAACCACACAUGGUCAUAUACAGCC
Long non-coding RNA from Oncorhynchus tshawytscha (Chinook salmon), 841 nucleotides. NCBI's taxonomy places the organism in Eukaryota, Metazoa, Chordata, Actinopteri, Salmoniformes, Salmonidae. The record is from Ensembl.